Molecule: non-coding RNA, 135 nt
Organism: Solanum lycopersicum (tomato)
Lineage: Eukaryota; Viridiplantae; Streptophyta; Magnoliopsida; Solanales; Solanaceae
Source: Rfam
UGUCAAGUACUACCUACGUUUCCUUCUAUAUGAUAGUGUUUGAUAUGGAGCAUAAGAUUAAAAUUGCUUUUGCUCUUCAGAUUUGCUGAGAUUUUAACUAACCUCUGAAGCUGAUCUAGUAAGCUUUAGUACAUU